UACGAAGGGAGCUAGCGUUGCUCGGAAUUACUGGGCGUAAAGGGCGCGUAGGCGGUUUCGAUAGUCGGGCGUGAAAUCCCCAGGCUCAACUUGGGAAUUGCGUUCGAUACUGCGAGACUUGAGUGAGGGAGAGGAUAGUGGAAUUCCCAGUGUAGAGGUGAAAUUCGUAGAUAUUGGGAAGAACACCAGUGGCGAAGGCGGCUAUCUGGACCUCAACUGACGCUGAGGCGCGAAGGCGUGGGGAGCAAACAGG
Molecule: ribosomal RNA, 253 nt
Filed under: uncultured bacterium
Lineage: Bacteria
Description: partial 16S ribosomal RNA
Rfam family: Bacterial small subunit ribosomal RNA
Source: RNAcentral